RNAcentral lists this ribosomal RNA (468 nucleotides) under uncultured bacterium. Its description in RNAcentral is "partial 16S ribosomal RNA". It matches the Rfam family "Bacterial small subunit ribosomal RNA", at positions 28 to 507 of the family's 1533-position model. The record is from RNAcentral.
GACGAACGCUGGCGGCGUGCUUAACACAUGCAAGUCGAACGGAAAGGCCCUGCUUUUGUGGGGUUCUCGAGUGGCGAACGGGUGAGUAACACGUGAGUAACCUGCCCUUGACUUUGGGAUAACUUCAGGAAACUGGGGCUAAUACCGGAUAGGAGCUCCUGCUGCAUGGGGGGGGUUGGAAAGUUUCGGCGGUUGGGGAUGGACGCGCGGCUUAUCAGCUUGUUGGUUGGGUAGUGGCUUACCAAGGCUUUGACGGGUAGCCGGCCUGGGAGGGUGACCGGCCACAUUGGUACUGAGAUACGGCCCAGACUCCUACGGUAGGCAGCAGUGGGGAAUAUUGCACAAUGGGCGGAAGCCUGAUGCAGCAACGCCGCGUGUGGGAUGACGGCCUUCUGGUUGUAAACCGCUUUCGCCUGUGACGAAGCGUGAGUGACGGUAAUGGGUGAAGAAGCACCGGCUAACUACGUG